CACACACACAAUCUCUGUCUCUCCAUCUCUCUGUGUGUGUGCGCCUCACUCUCUGUCUGUCUGUCUCUCUCUCUCUCUAUCGUCUUGUCUCUGCUAUCUCGCUGUGCACUUCUCUGUCUCUCUCCUCUUUCACUGUCUCUUUGGUCUUUGUGUGUGUGUGUGCCCCUCUCUGUCUCUGCCUCCCUCUGUGUGUGCUUUUGCCUUUCUCUCUCUCCGUCGCUCCCUGUGACCGUCGACCCCCCACCCCCUCUGCACCGCCCCUCCCCCCGCCUUUUCCUCCAUCUCUCUUACUCUCUAUCCGAGCCUCCCCACCCGCUCAGCAGGGAGCGUUGUGAGUUUCUUUCGAACAAAGUUUAAAGAUCUCUGUUUGAACCCAAGCCAUCCGCAAUCAGACUGCAUUUCUAAUCCCCCCCCCGCCCUCUCUCUCUCACACACACACACACACACACAGUCUGUCUCUUUCUCCCUUUCAGUCAAUCCCCUUCCUCUCUUGGUCCUACUCAAGCCUUUUCCCACCCCCGACUCUGCCUCGGCGAUGAGUCCGCUGUCCGGAUCCCUUUUCCCAGGCGUGGGCUGAGGACCUAGCGGUUCGGCAGCGGGGAUCAUCGCACCACGCUCCCGGACCCCUACAACCUCCAGUUCUCCAGCGGCCUCCAGCAUGACCACCGGGCUGGGAGCAGGCAUCCGGGCUGCCGGAGCGCUCGCUGCUCAGUGGCUCAGCCCUGCGCCGCCUUUGCCGGGAGCGGGGAUCCGAGGUGGGAGAAGGCCUCUUCGCCCGGCUCCUGGGCACAGCUACCUGCCUGAACAGCUGCCUGGCACCGAGCCUGCGCUCCCCGAGCACCCGACCGCGGGUCCGCGACGCCUUCCGGGGCUGAGUAGCCGAAAACUAUCUCCUACUGCAAGGGUAAGGACUGCCUGCAAAAUCUGAGAUUGGGCUUUGAAAGACAUCAACCUUUGCUUGCGAGAGAUAAUGGUAACUGCAGAUGCUAGAGAAUGCGAGAUAACAAUGUGUGGAGCUGGAUGAACACAGCAGGCCAAGCAGCAUCUCAGGAGCACAAAAGCUGACAUUUCGGGCCUCGACCCUUCAUGCGAGAGAACGUAACGUUUUUAAAGAAGAAAUUGCCCCAGUCAAACAAGAAGUCAAAAUAUUAAAUGAUCUGGCCAGUCAAUUAUCUCCGCUUGAUGUCUGUUUCUCUCCAAAGAUUUCUCACCAGCUUGACGACCUAAAUAUGAGGUUGAAAUUUAUACAGACAACAUCAGGUGAAGAUGUGCGUGAUUUCACCAAGGUGCUGAAAAAUAACUUCAGAUCAAAGAAAUACUUUGCCAAACAUCCUCGCUUGGGUUAUUUACCACUACAAACAGUCCUAGAAGACAAGGAAAUAUUGGUGAUGCAAUGAAGAGUUUGAUGAUAAAAUAUAAUUACUGUUACGGUUUCCUCUUGGACGAAAUAUUCUCAUCAAAUUGACUGGUCAAGGAAAUGGGACACUGACUGUGAGUACUUUGAGUGUUUAAGUGAUUCCUAAAAUGAAAAUUAUGACCUUGAUUUCUCUUGCAUGCAGAUAUGAAGAGACUAUUUUAAAAAUCCUCUCGGUUCGUGGUUCAGGCAUAAAGGUGUCACAUGCAUAUUUAUGUAUAUACAUGUACAUGUGAAAUCUGAAAAGAAAAUGACGAUAAAUCACUUGUUACAAGGUGAGAAUGAGUUAUCCAGAUAGUAAGAACUGCCAAAGUUGGUGUCUGAGAUAACACAUUGUGGAGCUGGGGGAAAGCAGGCAGCAUCAGAGGCUCAAGAAAGUUGAUGUUUUGGGUCAGGACCCUUCCUCCAAAAUGGAGGGUGGACGGGAGCUCAGAAACAAAUAGUGUGGAGAGGGAGGAGGUGCUGGGGAAGGUAGGUGGGAUGGUGAUAAAUGAGUACUAUCCAGAUUGGAACAGAUUUACCCCAGAAGGUAUUGAAUACAAGUUCCAAAUCACUCUCAAAAUCCUAGUGACUGUUAACAUUCAUGUUUUUUUUGUCUGUGUGUUUCAGUAGUUGCAUGUCAGUUUGAAUGGUUCAUUGAGAGUGAGGAACCUAUGGACUCACACACACCAACAUGGAAUUUAAUUCAAAGAGUGACUCCUCUUCAAAGUACUUAGUCGCUUUUAAAAUCUUGACCAUUUCUGCUGUCUAGUUGAACAAGUGUAGCUGAAUACUGCUUCAAUAGGAAUUAGUGUUUAAUAGGAACAUAUUUGUGAAACUUACAGUUCCUCAAGCUUUAGCAUAAACUGGUGGAGACUUUCGGCGCUUGCAAAAAGGCUCACCUCUCUUAAUACUGAAGGAAAAUUGGAGUUUAAAAAUGCGGAUAAAGUUCUCCAAGCUGACAGAAAUUGAAAGCACUCGCAUCCUGUGACGAUGGGGUAGGAGUGGAAGAAUCAGAGUGUUUCUUUGAAAAUUGGCUUGAUGUGUCUGUCCAAGGGUCAUCUGGAGGAAAAAAUACAAGUGUUGAACUCCAUCUGCCACCUCUCAGCCCAUCUGCAGCGAGCAGCAGCGGAGGCAAGACGGACCCGGAAGACUGCAGCUAAGGUAAAGCAGUUUAUUUUUAAAAUUACUUACCGGUAGCGGGCAGCGGUGUUUUUUUUUCCUCUCAGACAAGGAGUGGGAGCAGCAGAGGAAGUGACGAGGACCAGAGGGGCAGCCGGGAAGGAAAGCAGUGACCAUAUAUGUCAGCAAGGCGGCUAAACCCAAGGCUCUACAACUGUAGUGUCUCCCACCCGCCCUCCUCCUCUAACCUAGUUAAUAAGAUAUCUUCAAACAAGUAGCUGAACCCACAGAUUUAUGUGACCAACGAAGCCUGAGCCUUUUGCUUCACGAUGCAGUCCAGAUCCCUCGGCAGCUGGGCACUCAGACAUGAACUAAUGGAUAAGGAGGAGACAAUCAUAACUGCUUUGGAUUCAGCCCAUAGAAGGGCCAGAGGAGUCGCGCUGACACCUUCAUGUUUAAACAGAGGACACUUUUCUGCGUGCCACUAGAUGUAUAUCAGCCAUACCAAAAUGCUGCCUUUGCCUGAGACAGGGAAGAUGAAAUGACUUUGGGGAAAUGGAGAAUCAUUCAUGAAUCCAGUUACUUUCUGAUCUGACAGCUUUGUGGCAUCUGAAUGGAUAACAAUUUGAUCUGGUAAUCUCAAUUGAUAGAGUGCAAAUGUGUAGUGAUGCAUUUUGGGAGCUCUGGUAAGUGAAAGAUGUUCACAAUGACUAGUAGAUCCCUAGAGAGCACUGAGAAACAAAGGGACCUUGGUGUCCAAAAGCAAGAGUUCAUGCCCUCUGCUUCUGGCCUUUCAGGCAAUGUUGGAUCCAACACUCCACUGAGCCUUAGAUCCCAUGAGCUCUUGUUUUGUUGACCAGUCUGCUAUCACUGACCUUAUCAAAAACAUAUAGACGACAUCAGAUGAAUUUCCCUCUUCAACACUUCUGAUAUCUCCUCAAUAAAAAUUAGAUAAAAUUUGCAAACCAUGGCAUUACCUCAACAAAGCCAUGCUGACUAUCCCCGAACAUUCCAUGUUUCUCCAAGUGCAGCGACAUUUUGUCCCUUAAAAUUCUUUCUGAUAACUUCCCUACCACCAAGGUUAGACUGGCUUGUAACUUCUGGAUCUGUCCUUUCUUCUUUUAUAUAAAAGUAUGAGCGGUCCUCUGCCACCUUAGCUGUGGCCAGAAAUGACUUGAAAAAUCUUUGCCAGGACCUUUGAUAUCUCCUCCCCUGCUUCAUAAAGUCAUGCAGUAUAGAAACAGGCUCACUUGAUCAACAUCAAUGCCAACUAACAAACAUCAAACUACUGAUCCCAUUUACCUGCACUGAGUCAUUACCUACCAUACCCUGGCCCUUUAAAUGCUCAUCUGUUGCUUCUUUAAUAUUGCAAGCGUAUCUGCCUUCUCCACCUUGUCAGGCAGCAUAUUACAUGUUUGUAUCGCUUUUGGUGAAAACACUUGCCUCAGAUCCCCUCUAAAUAGCUGACAGUUCACCUGAAAUCUAUGCCCCCUGAUUUAAACUCGUCUACUGGUUCUCACAAUCAAUCUAUGCCUCCUCAUAAUUUUGAAUACGUCGAUCAGAUUUCCCCUCAGCCUCCUCUGCUGCAUGGAAAACGCACUUAGCCUACCAGUUUCUCCUCAUAAAACUUGCAUUCAAUCACAAAACAACACCCUGAAACAUAUACUAUCAACCAACCUGGCCAACAUCUCUGUCUCCGGCUUGCUACAGUGUUCCAGUGAAGCCCAGCACAAGCAGACAGAACAACACCUCAUUUUCUACUUGGGGACCUGACAGCCCUCCAGACUUAAUAUUGAGUUCUGCAAUUUUAGGGCCUAAACUCUCCCAUAUCGCAGCGCCCCCACCCCACACACCAGGCUUUGUUACCACGCAGCCUGCCACUACACACUCCCUGUUGUUAGUGACUAACAGUCCCCAUUGACAACUUCCCAGCCUGAUCGUUAGCAACUCCUUUAUCUGUCCACCUGUCUUUCUCUCUCUUUGGGCUCUAUCCUAUUGUUUACUCCCUCCCCACCCUCCUCCCUAUUUUCGGCAUAGAAACUGAUGUUUUCCCAGCCACCAUCAGUUCUGAGGAAGGGUCACCGGACUGGAAAUGUAAACUGUUUUUUCUUCCAACAUAUGUUGCCACACCUGCUGAGCUUUUCCAGCAACUUUGUUUUUGUUCGUUGUUUACAGCAUCCGCAGUUCUUGUGGUUUUUAUCACUAAACCUGUCAGACUCAUCAAUGCUCUCUAAUGCUCCAAUAAGAGGCACCUGCUGUACACAUGGUCAUGCAGACCAGCAGGAGCACUCAGCAUUUGACAUGUAGCGUCGGAUGUACCAAUCAUGGGUCAGAUCUUAAUUCCAGGCAUACCUUAGCUCAACAGAACACGGAUCUUUGCUUUUAAUUUACUCAUUCUCCUGCUUAAUUGUAGGGGACAAAAACCGGUGUUCACUCUCAGGUCUCUGCUGGUAUGCCUGCUUUUCAGGGAGAGCCUUAUCUCACCCACUCCUCUCAAUAACAUUCUCUGACUGUCACUGGGCCAACCCUCUGCUCUCAGUAACACUGUCUGCCCGUCACAGGGCCCUCACCCCCUCCUCUCAGUAAUACUGCCCGUCACAGGGCCCUCGCCCCCUCCUCUCAGUAAUACUGCCCGUCACAGGGCCCUCGCCCCCUCCUCUCAGUAACACUGCCCGUCACAGGGACAUCACCCACUCCUCUCAGUAAUACUGCUUGCCACAGGGCCCUCACCUGCUCCUCUCAGUUAUGCACUGACUGACUGUCACAGGGCCCUCACCCCCUCCCCUCAGUAACACACUCCGUCACAGUGCCCUCAGACUGUCACAGAGCGCUCACCGCUCCGCUCAGUCACACUGCCAGUUACAGGGCCCUCACGCGCUCCUCUCAGUAACACUGCCUGUCACAGAACCCUCACGCGAUCCUCUC
Long non-coding RNA from Stegostoma tigrinum, 5440 nucleotides. RefSeq lists it as uncharacterized. The record is from RefSeq and is a predicted model, not a curated record. Lineage: Eukaryota; Metazoa; Chordata; Chondrichthyes; Orectolobiformes; Stegostomatidae. The transcript has 11 exons.